Molecule: ribosomal RNA, 460 nt
Filed under: uncultured bacterium
Lineage: Bacteria
Description: partial 16S ribosomal RNA
Rfam family: Bacterial small subunit ribosomal RNA
Source: RNAcentral
CCUACGGGGGGCAGCAGUGAGGAAUAUUGGUCAAUGGACGAGAGUCUGAACCAGCCAAGUAGCGUGAAGGAUGACUGCCCUAUGGGUUGUAAACUUCUUUUAUAUGGGAAUAAAAUGUUCCACGUGUGGGAUUUUGUAUGUACCAUAUGAAUAAGGAUCGGCUAACUCCGUGCCAGCAGCCGCGGUAAUACGGAGGAUCCGAGCGUUAUCCGGGUUUAUUGGGUUUAAAGGGAGCGUAGGUGGAUUGUUAAGUCAGUUGUGAAAGUUUGCGGCUCAACCGUAAAAUUGCAGUUGAAACUGGCAGUCUUGAGUACAGUAGAGGUGAGCGGAAUUCGUGGUGUAGCGGUGAAAUGCUUAGAUAUCACGAAGAACUCCGAUUGCGAAGGCAGUUCACUGGACUGCAACUGACACUGAGGCUCGAAAGUGUGGGUAUCAAACAGGAUUAGAUACCCCAGUAGUC